UCACCUUUCACUCAGCUACCCCCCUAUUGAGCCCAGUGACUUUGGUCGGACCAGGCGGUUCAGCCCUCGGAGCCUGGGGGCCAGAGGCAGAGACCAGGAGGGAGCGAGAUGCCCCUGCAGUGGCCGGGGAUUGAUUUGAUCCCUCCUGGCUCUGCCAAGCCCACCACCCACAGCCGUGUGCUGUUCUGAGGGGUGACUUCGCUAGCUGCCAGAUCUGGAUGGUGCUUUGUGGAACAGAUGAAAAGCAUGCAGGUUAAGACAGGAACAACAGGAAGUGACAGCAACACAGGAAGUGGAGAGAUGAACGUCAAAGGUAUUUAGACGCCUAACUCCCAUUCAGAUCCAGGUGCCUAAAUAACUUUUGCAAAGGAAAACCAGCUCUUUGUGCUGUCUGCAAACAUAUCGGUGCCUGUUUCAAUUAGAUUAAGUGGGAGAUGAAUGCAGAAAGAAAUCGGCCCCUACACAAAUUCUUAGGUGGCGAGAUCUUUGCUCAGCUGUGCAUCAAGUCACCCCCACCCCCUCCUCCUUCAUCUAAAGGCCAGAUGACCCUGCCCUGAAUCACAAUAACCUGCUACAAUAAGGAUUUCCUCGCAUGAUCUGACAGGGGACAAAGGGCUUUCACGCACCUGCCUUCUGAGACAGAAACUAGAACUCGGCCCCGGACAAACGGUGGUACCUAUGGAUGGAGUUCAGUUCUUAAUGCAUCUUAACAAACAGGCAAGCACUCAAGAGUUUCUACUUACUCACCAUUCAUCUACUCCAGUGAUGACUUAAAGGAUUGGAAAACCUGCCUUACAGUGAUAGACUCAAGGAGCUCAAUCUAACCAAGAAAAGCUAAGGGGUGACUUGAUCACUGCCUGAAAGUACUUGCGCGGGGAACAAAACUUUGAUAACGGGCUCUUCAAUCUGGCAGCCGAAGGUCUAAGAAGCUCGGCUGGCUGGAAACUAGACAAAUUCGGCCUAGACGCAAAGCGCAUGUUUAUAACAGUCCGGGUAAUUAACCACUGGAACAAUUUACCAAGAGCUGCGGUGGAUUCUCCGUCUCUAGCCAUUUUUAAUCAAGACUAGAUGUUUUUCUAAACUCGUACACACAGGAAUUGAUUCAAGGACGUCCUAUAGCCUGGGUUAUACAGGAGGUCAAACUAGAGGAUCUCUACUGGCUUUAUAAUCUAUGAAACCCUGAUAGAUUGGCUCUAGACCAAUAAAUAAUAUGGUUAUAACAGUGCAGAGCUAUGGUAAUAGAUAGGUUCUACAGAGACUAACCUACGGUUUUAUGACCUCUUGUUU
Molecule: long non-coding RNA, 1287 nt
Organism: Mauremys reevesii (Reeves's turtle)
Lineage: Eukaryota; Metazoa; Chordata; Testudines; Geoemydidae
Exons: 4
Source: RefSeq, a predicted model, not a curated record